This is an RNA transcript of Bombyx mori (domestic silkworm), 7385 nucleotides long. RefSeq lists it as uncharacterized. The record is from RefSeq and is a predicted model, not a curated record. Lineage: Eukaryota; Metazoa; Arthropoda; Insecta; Lepidoptera; Bombycidae. The transcript is spliced from 6 exons.
UAUAUAUGCUGGUUCAAACACUAAAUAACGUUUAUAAAUCAUAGUCGUCUUCUAUUAUUAUCAAAUAAAUAAAAGAGAGCAAAGUUUCUAGCACUAAAAUAAUGACCACCACAGGAAGUUAAUUUGAAACGCGAUUUUUUAUAAGUUAACAGCUAUUAUCAUGCAUAUUCAGAGUUGUUUUGUGAACUUUCAACAUUCUACUAUUAAACUACAAAAAAUGGAAGAUUUUGCAACGAAUAUAAAACUUAUAUUGAGCGUCGAAAGAUUUUCCCGGUUUUUUCCCGAUUCGCCUGUCAAUCCCUAAUCGCCCCAUUUUACCGGUACUCGAUAAGCGCCUUUGCAUUUUAACAUUAUAACAAUAUAAUCAAAUUACUAUCUUCAGUUGACUAAAUCUUUUUUUAAGAGCGACAAAUAAAAACAACAAACAAUAAGUUAAAAUGAGUAGAAUGAGGAAACGUAACAUAAAAACGGAAGAUCCCGAGCCCUCCACGUCCACUCGAAUACAACAAGAACACGACUUGGCGUAUUAUAUUCACGAUAGAGUGGAACUGAUGCAUCAGAUUUUCAGCGUCUUAAAACCGAAAGAAUUAAAGGCAAUGGCUCCGGAUUGUGUCAGAAACGUAUCUAUUGAUGAUUUACAGGAGCUCUGCACGGAGGAGCUUUUAGGAAUCAGUUCGAAACGCCUAUUAGCCAUCUUGGAUGGAGCAGAGCCUCCAUCCGACACGGAGUCCUCCAGCAGGUCUCCAUCACCACAGCUUGAGACCAUAUCUCUGGACAGCAUAUCUUCAGAUGAGGAGAUACUGAAUGAAGAUCAACAUAAGAAAAAAAAGCACAAACAUCAUAGAAAGAAUUCAAAAUUGAGGUUGAAAGAUAGAAAGAAACAUAAAGGUAAGAAGAGUGAAGAUGUGGAGCAGUCUGCAGCCUCUAGAGCGGGACUCACUGUGUUGGAGCUGCUGGAGUUACAGGCGCGAGCCAGGGCUAUCCGGGCGCAGCUGCAGCAAGAACGGGAGACAAUGGAACAUGUGGAAACAUCUCAAACGGUGUGCAACUCAUCAGACAACGAAGUGGAAAUCAAAGAGGAGCCUCCAGAAGUGUUAGUCAUCAGUAGCGAGGAUGAGAAGCCGGAUAUCCAAGAGCUACAGAAACAUCCAGAACUCGCAAAGAACACUCCAGAAGAAGCAGUCGAGGCGAUAGGCGAGUCGCCCGCGCCCCAGGAGUCAGCAGUAGUCACGAAGCGAUGCAACGACCUCAUUAUAAAAGUACCUCAGAAGACGCACACGAGAAAAAUCAAACUAAAACGAAACAAAAUAACGGCUUCUGUUCAGAGCGAAAGUGUUGCCAGUACAGCGAGCAUAAGUGUUGCCACAACCGAGAAACGGAAGAAGAAAAAGAAGAAACGCGACAAGCAAACAUACAACAUUGACAAUGAUGAAAUUACAUUGCAAUUGUCGGAUUCAGAGAAGAUGGACUUGUUACAGGACCUAGAGAAGAAACACGGCGUUGCCAGUGAAACUGAUAGUGACAGCUCGGAGGAUAUGACCAAAGAGGCCAACAACGGCACGGCAUUACAAAAUGAUAAGGUUACUGAGGACGCUUUAGUAAAUACAAGUGAGUGUGUCGUGAAUGCAGACACAGAAUCUUCUGACAAGGGAGAAGGAUCAAUAGAAGAAGGUGAGAUCGUCACUGACAAUUGUAAGGAUGAUACAGAAAUUUGUGAAUCGGUAGAAAGUGCUGGUGAUAGGGUAAUAGAAGUUAACGAUUUACCUGUGAGCCAAAAUAAUCCUGAGACUGUGGAUUUGAAUCAACAACAUUCAGAACGUACCCAGCUCAAUGACAAACCCAAUCUAGUUUACGGGAGCCCUGAGAAAACAGACUCAUUAUCCACGAAUACUGAAGUUGCUAAACAAACACAAGAUUCCGAAGAAAUUAUAGAGGAAACUGUCUGUAUAUCAGACGAUGAAAGCACAAACGAUGUAAUACAAAUUAUAGAUGAAGUAGAACUGUCUGAUGAUUCUUGCAGUGAAGUCAGCUUGCUGUCAAAGGAGCCGACAGCCCAGGAAAUAGCUGCUUUGUCUGCUAGAAUAGAUGAAAUGGAUCAAAACGAUGUGGACGAUGAUGCAUCAGAACAACUCCUAAUGUCUUGGAAAGACAGAUACGUAGAGAGUGCUAAAGUUAAAAAAGUUUUGACCGUGUCGAACAUAUUUAACGCAUUGAGGAAAAAGAAUAUUGAUUUGAAGAAGAAAAUACAGGAGUGUGACAAACCCUCCGAAGAUGUUGUAGUUGAAAACAAAAUUGAAGACGGAACACUCGAGCAAUACAAUAACCUAGAGAGUACUGCUGGCAAGUUCAGCUCUGAGACCUUAGAUAAUGUUGUGGUUACCGCCAACAUGAAGAAAGAUGCUAAAGUCCUAUUGAAGAUGUACAAAAAGCUUCUGAAAUACAACGACAUGACACGGGUCAGUAAGAAGAAAAAGAAGAAAGACGUGUGAUCGAUAGGGCUGUGUCUGAGUUAUAAAUUUGAAGCUAACUUGAUGUGUAUUACUUGGUGCGCUGUUGUAUGUGUAUUUGUUUAAGUAAUAUGACAGUGGAAUGUUAAUAUGCUUUCGUGCUUACAUACAGACAUACAAAUAGGACAUUAAUUGUUUAGAGGUAUCGACACAAGGAAGAUCCUUCACAGAACAGGGACAAUUGCUGUGCAUACCGACAGUAUCUGUGUUGUUCUGAAUUUGUAUAUAUGUACACCGAUCAAGUGGAAGGGUGCCGAUGCAAUGGACCGACCAGAUCAAGUCGGCAGUUGGCGGCUGUUUGCAUGAGUGCACCAGGCUCACCACAAACCGGGAGGAGUGGCGAUCGCUCGUGAGGCGCAAUACAUCUGCCUACAACAAUGAUGCUGGAUGACGACCACGACCCCUCUGACAAGAGUGAUACGACAUACGAAAUACACUCAUCAAGGUAUAUAUUUUUGUUGUAAACUAUGUAAUUUGUAGUUCUUAAAUCAUUUCAACGGUCAAUGAAUAGCAUCUUAAAAAAACACUGCUAAUGUUGAUGUCUGUUGGCAGCUUCAUUUAACGAAACCAGAAGUGUAGGAACAGAUCACAUGUCCUGCCUUGGAGUUCUACAGCCCUAGGUUCAACAGUGGACUAUAAAAGACUCAAUAAUAACGAUGAAAAUAAAGGGCUGUGAGUUCAUUCACUCAUCUAGUGAUUCUAGUGCAUUAAGGAUGUUACCUGAGCAAGGAAGGGAGAUGCACUGCUGCUCACAUGUUCAGAGUCUGAGUUAUGAAGAAGGAAGAUGUUCACUGAGGAAUGUAAUUAUCUUGUAUAUAAUUACAUCGUUAACAUUAAGGAAUCAUUUAAAUGUAAUAGUGGAAGGCGAAGGUAUCCUAUCAUACCGCGUAAUCCUGAAUCGCGGUGAUGAGAUGUUACACAGUAGAUAUACGUUCUCGUAUUUCUCUUGCCAAAUCAUACUUACCUGGCAUAGAGGAUACCGUGAUCAUGCAGGCGGUUCCCUCAGGGCGAGGCUGCUCCAUUGCGCUGCGGAGUGGUUGACCCUUGCGAUUAUUUUUAUUUUUAUCAAUAAAAUAAUCACAAUAAAAAAUGUAUACCCGAAUAAUUAUUUUCUUUAUACCUCGAAUAGAACUUAAAAAAAAUGUGUGCGUGUACUAGUGUACACACGUAAGAAGUGAAACUUGUUUAUGGCCUUAUUUUUCGAAAAAUGAUCUACAUGCAACUUUCUAGAAAUUGGUUAAAUAAAGUUAAAUUAGAUAAAGUUUAAACAAAAGGAUUUUAUUAUCAUAGACAUGAAUACAAAAAAGUUAAAUUAGAUAAAGUUUAAACAAAAGGAUUUUAUUAUCAUAGACAUGAAUACAAAACAGAUGGCGCGUAACGGAAAAAAGUGACGCGUAACCGAAAAAUGUGACGGUAAAUUUUUUUCCAACGCCGAUAAGGAAGUUUCACUUCAAUUAAUAUUUUUAUAAUACGGAUCGUUCGUUCCUAUCCGGUGUCCCACGACACCACCCAUCUUUUUUUAUUUUAUUAAAUAGCAAACUCAAACAACACAUUUUUUAAUUUCAUCAUUCACAAUAGUAAUACAAGCUUCGUAAAAAAAUAUUUAUCACAACAUUGAAAUUAUAAAUAAAAUCAUGCCGAUCUCCAAUGAUACUCUUUGCUCAUGAUGAGCAGCGAGAGUAUGACGAUCAGUAUAAUAAGCGCCAGGCUGAUGCUCAACAGCACUACUGUGGUGAGAUUUCUCCCAACACAAGUGUUUUCGCCGUAAAUGCGUUCGUCCUGUGCCCUGGGAGAACUCUGUCUCGUUGAUUUGCUUGCUUGCAUAUUUUCACUACAAAAACAAUGUCAAAUUAAACGUCAUGUGUCAAAUAGCCGCUAGUGGUUUUUUUUCUCAUCACAGUCAAUGGAUCUCAAUUGAUACUAGUCACAAUAUGGUGUAGAUUAAAGGUCUUUGAAACCAGAAUGUAAAAUUACUUGGUUAAUUACACACGAUGGUAUCCAUGGAAAGAGUUAGAACAGACCCUAAUGCAAACUUACUAACGAUUGUCACGAAAACUCAAAUAAAUGCAUUCAUUCCGUAUGAUGUUACCAAUUUACAAAACCAUGACUUUAUUUCACGUAACGCUGUAGCGGUGUAAUUGUUUCAGCUUACCGCUUUAUAAUCCGCUAGUCAGUCACGCCCUACACUGCAAUUGUAAGUUCAGGAUCAGUGAAUCAAGUGUGAGGGUUAAUUUCGCAAUUACAUGUUCUAAAUGUGACCAUUUGAUGGUGCGCCACUACUCCAAAACCCCGGACACUUCCAAACGGUCAAUUUUCAAUUAAGCAAACCAUAGAUAAACAAACCUUCGAUACGUAUUCCACUUUCAGAAACGUCACGGUGACAACAAUGACAGCUGUCAGAGUGCCGACUGCCGCCACAGCGCCGAGCACGCGGAGCGCUCCGCCGGCGCCGCAAGAACGGAGGUCAAAGUUGCAAAGCGAUCGCCGACGCAAUACAGACGUGUCGGGUCGAUGACCUGCGCGCCGAAUAUCAAACUGACUUAUUAUUUCCGUUUGCGUAUCAUUAAGGAAGAGCGUUUAACUUAGUACUUUGUAUUAGCGGGUAAUUUCAGGAAGAGGACGCAAUCCCUCUUCACAUAGCACGCAACUGAAUUUUUAUUAGGCACUUUCUAAUCGUCAUAGCUUUAUCAAGGAUUCGGAACGUGGUAUGAAAGCUCUGAACAAUCAGCACGAGCCUCAGGGUCGGGGCUUGCACUAUUCCACUAUAGGUACAGUGCCCGGCGAUAAAUGUGGCACAUCGACUUCAAGAAAGAGACAGUCGGUUAAUUUCGGCUUCGUAGAGCGUCGUCUCUGUGGCACACCGCCUACAUAUUAUUAUGUGACCUUUGUCGGUCGUUGUUCAAAUGUUUACAGAGAUCGAUGUGUAAUGCAUAACGUCGGUAGCGGUAUGCGUACUGCUAGAUAAAACAGUAACUGUUGUAAAACAUCUACAAUGGUGCCUAGUGCUGCCAUCUAGGACGAAUGUAUGUAAAACUAAAAUAUAAAACUCACUUUCUGUAUAACACGAAACACCUUUUUUACUAAUAAAAACUAUACAAAAUUAUCAAAUUAAAAGAUAUCAAAAAUAGAUCUAGAAAUGUGUGCUUUGUGCGAGUUUUUUAACGUUCUCGACAGCGUAAAAGUAUGCAGUUGGAACAGCGCCCCUAGCGGCAAACGUAAGCAAACGUUCCAACUCAUUACAAAUUUGAGUUAACUUCUACGCUAUCGAGAACGUUAAAAAACUUGCACUACUAGUGUGGUUCCAGGAUCAUUCUCGCCACCCUCCGAUCUGACUGCAUCGCCUUCCCUGUGCGGUGUAUUAUGGUUUCAAAGCCUCGGAGAUUUGACUCGACACUUGGCGCGGUCGACGUGCGUGGGCAGCAGUGCCGUUAUGUAUAUUUGCCUUCGAAAAGACGCUACUCGACUUACGCUGCUGAAACCUGCAGCAGCACCAAGCAGCACCAAGAAUGAAACUUUAUUCUAGAAGUUUCGUAAGAACGGCAAGAUUAGUUCUAAAUUUAUUUUAGAUGUUUAGUUUUAUAUAAGGUUGCAUCGAUUAUAUUCUACCAAUUUAGUAGAAAGUUGUCAAAAUUAAUUUACUUACUAUCAACAGUGGCUGUGGGAACGGUAGGAGCGGCUCUGAAAUAAUCGAACUGGGGCAUUAAUUUUUUUUUGCUUUCCAGCACCUAAUCGGUUUUAAAAUAAAUUUUGUACUUUUAUGGCCCUGCACUGGUCAGCAGCGCCAUGUUGUUUAUUUUGUUGCAUGUGUUCCGGUCUGUAGAGCAGUUAUUAAAGCAUAACGGAGAUUACAUGCCUGCCUUUUUUGUUCCUACCUAUGCUGAUAGCCUUGACAGGCUAUUUCAGCUUCUCCUUGACGUGUAGGUGAGCUCACGGGGCUCAAACCGGGAGUGUUGCUAACACUGGUUCUAGCAAGAGCACUGCUUCGCAGAAGCUACCACCGGACCCACUGAGAAGAUCCGGUGAGAAACUCAGUGGGUAACAGAUUGCAGGCCUCAAAAUGGGUGGAGGUACUGACGUAUUGUGCCUAUGGGCUCCCAUAUCCCCUUAAUUCCAGGUCACGUUGUAUAUACUAGCUCACUAGUUUGUCUAUACACGCAAAAAAUGUUCAUAACAACUAUAAGCAAAAAUCCCUUUAGACGGAAGGCUGUUUAUCUUUUGAAAUGUUGUUUAUCUUUAUUUUUAUUUUUGAUUUUACACAUUACAGGGCCGAAUGUCUACUGACUUCAAUACCGUAUGGAGGCAAGCGAAAUAAAAAAACCUCCAAUGAAUUCGUCUAUACUAUAAUAUUAUAAAGAGGAAAGAUUUGUUUGUUUAUUUGUUUCGAAUAGGCUCCGAAACUACUGGACCGAUUUGAAAAAUUCUUUUUCCAUUAGAAGCCGACAUUGUCCCUGAUGAACAUAGGCUACUUUUUUUUAUUUUUUAUUUAUUUAUUUAUUUUUUUUGGUUUCAUGUGUGUUUUAAUGUUUCCGAAGCGAAGCGAGGGCGGGUCGCUAGUUGUUUAAUAAACUCACAAACUAUUUUGUACUCACUUUAUAAUUGAUGUCGUUGCAUUUUCAUUUUUCAUUCAACUUUACUAGUCCUUUACUAGAAAAAAAAACACACAAAAACCAAUCAUUCAAAGUUGACAGACAAACUCAGACAAGCUUAAUUAAUUUUAAGCAAUUCACAUCAAAGAGAAUAAUAUGAUGACGGCAAUAUCUAUUGCAUGCCAGAUCUAGAAUUUACGUGCUGAUUUUAAAAGAGGUUGUAUUUAAAAUAUAAUAUUUUAUGAUGUAAAGUUUUGAUGAUUACUUUUAUAAAAUAAAGUUCAAAGCUGCA